Molecule: long non-coding RNA, 975 nt
Filed under: Varanus komodoensis (Komodo dragon)
Lineage: Eukaryota; Metazoa; Chordata; Lepidosauria; Squamata; Varanidae
Description: lncRNA (ENSVKKG00000014702.1)
Source: RNAcentral
AUUUGGUACGCUGUGGAAGGAUCCCCCACGCUGGUGGAGACCUCUGUGAGCAGAUCCCUUCUGUCACUGUGAAAGAGCUCCUGUACCCCCCCCCCCCCGCCCCGGGGUCUUAUUUGCAGUCCUGGCCCCUCCUCAUUGCGCAUGUUCCUUCUCCCUCUCUCAGGCACCCAUUUUCAUCUCGUUCUUCUUCGCCCUGCGCAACAUGGCAGAGCUCCCUGUGCCCAGCUUGCAAACCGGGGGGCUUUGGUGGUUCCUGGAUCUCACGGCCGCCGACCCAUACUACGUCCUACCCCUGACAGUGACGGCCACCAUGUGGGCAGUCAUGGAGUUGGGGGCAGAAUCGGGAAUGCCAAACCAGAACUUCCGGAUGAUGAAAAAUGUUUCCCGAGUGAUGCCGCUCAUUAUUCUGCCCAUCACAAUCUCCUUCCCGACGGCCAUCAUCAUCUACUGGCUGACGUCCAACCUCUUCUCGCUGGUGCAGGCCUCAGUGCUCCGCCUGCCUGCGAUCCGCACCCGCCUCCGCGUUCCCGUGUAGAUCCAACGAGCCCCUGGUCUCCUGCUCGCGGAGGACGGCUUCAUGAAGUGCCUCAGAAAGGGCCCACUGCGACAGACCUUUGCCCGGAAUCCUUUGCAGCAACAUGAGCCCCCCACUCCAAAGCCACCGCCACGAAAGAGGCCGUGGGAGGACACGUUGGGCUGAGCGGCGACCCCAAGACCCGGCACGGAGGCAGUGGAGUGUCCCCCACCGCGGCUCUGGUUUUCUGACUUUUGACAAUAAAGGACCUGGAAGUCCUUUCUCCUCCUCUGGCUCAGUCGGAGCGGGUCCACAUGGAUGGAAGGAUGGAUGUGUGAGGCAGCCUCUUCCCAGGUUUUUUCUGCCUCUCUGUCAGAAGAACUACUUCCUUCCUUCCAAAAAUUAUCCUUCAGAAAUCUCCAUGUUCAUGUGUCAUUUCUCUGUGAAUACCGAAUCGCUUU